UAGGGAAUAUUAGUAAUGGGCGAAAGCCUGAACUAGCAACGCCGCGUGUGCGAAGAAGGCCUUCGGGUUGUAAAGCACUUUUUGAGAGGAUGAGGAAGGACGGUACUCUCAGAAUAAGUCUCGGCUAACUACGUGCCAGCAGCCGCGGUAACACGUAGGAGGCAAACGUUAUCCGGGUUUACUGGGCGUAAAGCGCGUGUAGGUGGUUUGGUAAGUAGGGCGUGAAAGCUCCUGGCUCAACUGGGAGAGGCCGUUCUAAACUGCCGAACUAGAGGAUGGUAGAGGGAGGUGGAAUUCCGGGUGUAGCGGUGGAAUGCGCGGAUAUCCGGAGGAACACCAGUGGCGAAAGCGGCCUCCUGGACCAUUCCUGACACUCAGACGCGAAAGCUAGGGUAGCAAACGG
This 403-nucleotide ribosomal RNA is filed under the name uncultured bacterium. RNAcentral describes it as "bacterial SSU rRNA". It matches the Rfam family "Bacterial small subunit ribosomal RNA", at positions 355 to 775 of the family's 1533-position model. The record is from RNAcentral.